CUCCAAUUUUUUUGUUUUUACUGCUUAAAACUCAGAAAUGUCAACUACUGAGUAGAAGGGGAACACACCAGAAGAUAAAAUUAAAGAUAUUUCACAAUGUGAAUCACAAAAAAAAUCCCCACAAACAACCAGGGAAUAAAUUAUUUGAUUUCAUAAAUGCAUAAAAAUGAAUGACAAAACAUCAGUUAUUCUAAGAAAUAACUGUAAGCUGCAACAGAAAAGACUCCCAUCUUUUUAGACAAACUACUGCAACAGUUUUAUGACAGUAAAACUCUUCACAUUAACUCUCACUAAGGAAGGGGAGACGUCCCAAAAUGCCACGCUGUUACAAAUAAAAACCUGUUUAUUUGGUAAGGAGCUUUUCUGUUGGACACCAAACAAGUUUAGCUUAUUCUGGCAAAAGUUUGGUCAGGUUUGAAUCACUUAGUUUCUGCAGAGUAGCCAGCUGUGCUAUGAACGUACAGAAAACUGGGAGCACGGCCAGUUCCUCCCUUAUUUGGUCUUCAGGUGAGCUAUUGAUCAUUAAACAGCUGCAACCUAAGCUAACCCGGUGGAAAUAAAUAAAAACAGAAGCUGAGUGUAAUUUGUAACCGCGACUGUUCCAGUAAAUCAUUUAAAACACGACGAGAUGCAACAGGCUGGUUCAGGUUUGGCCACCUCUCUGAGAGGGAACCAAAGCUCCACCAAACCAUUCACAGUGAGGGAUUUCCAGUGGAAGACGUAAAAUAAGCUGUCCCUCAGUUAGAAAGCAAACAAUAAACCCACUUUCAAAUAUAUGU
Molecule: long non-coding RNA, 779 nt
Organism: Poecilia latipinna (sailfin molly)
Lineage: Eukaryota; Metazoa; Chordata; Actinopteri; Cyprinodontiformes; Poeciliidae
Exons: 3
Source: RefSeq, a predicted model, not a curated record